GACCUGAUGGUAGGACAUAGUCUGUCGAUGGAGAAAGCAGCCUAUGAGCCAAGGGAGAGAAAUCAGGAAAUAGAAGAGGGAGGGGGGCAAAGAGAGCAGCACUAUAGGGAGCAGAGAUGGACUCAGAGAAGCCUGGCUUUUGGCUUAGAGCUGGACCCUCUCCUACUUGCUAACUUCCUUUUCUUGUCCCUCCUUUUCCUCUUCCUCCUUUCACACAUAGGGAAGCAUAAAGGACAAGUUUGCUCCUUCCUCUGUUUCACAUAAAACGGGUAUUUGUGCAGAGCUGUGUGCAAGGAAUCAUCCCCUUAGACUGGGAGCUCCUCCAGGCCAGGGCCUGGCUCAGGCCUUUCUUUGUAUCCUGACAGGCCUCCUUCCCCCCUGCCCCAUCCCCUAGACCAAGGCUGGCUGCAUUGCUCAGGUAGGCGAGAGCCCCUCCUGCCUGGGGCCUUGGUGGAGUCCCUUAAGCCGAUGGGCGACUGAGUCUCCUAUCCAGACUGAGACAGGAGGUGGACAAAUGGGCAGUGACUUCCUGUUUACCCUGACCUGUCAUGGAGCAAUCACCUGCUUUUUCCCUCCCAGUAUCAGGGCAUAUUCGGGAAGAUGGCCUGGAGAACAGGAGGACCUUGGCCCUUUGAGAAAGGCUAACUUUUUGAAGAGGAGCCAGCUCUAUUUGAUUGUUGGCCCCCAUUGCGGCAAUCCGUUUUCUCCUAUUACCCAGUGCAGACUUGGCCCGUUUGUACAGGCUGCUUUUAACUGGUGCCAGCAACUCUCUGCAGCCCCCCUUAGCCAUGGGGCUGUUAGCCCUGGUGUUGGGGGGAUCCCUUUCAAGGAAAGGGGGUACUCCUCGCGGCAGUAAGUUGACCUAUGGGGAGAGGCUUCAGUGACCUGACCGUGGGGCAAAGUCUGUGGAUGAAAAAGGCAGCCUAUGAGCCAAGGGAGAGAAAUCAGGAAAUAGAAGAGGGAGGGGGGCAAAGAGAGCAGCACUAUAGGGAGCAGAGAUGGACUCAGAGAAGCCUGGCUUUUGGCUUAGAGCUGGACCCUCUCCUACUUGCUAACUUCCUUUUCUUGUCCCUCCUUUUCCUCUUCCUCCUUUCACACAUAGGGAAGCAUAAAGGACAAGUUUGCUCCUUCCUCUGUUUCACGUAAACGGGUAUUUGUGUAGAGCUCUGUGCAAGGAAUCAUCCCCUUAGACUGGGAGCUCCUCCAGGCCAGGGCCUGGCUCAGGCCUUUCUUUGUAUCCUGACAGGCCUCCUUCCCC
This 1258-nucleotide long non-coding RNA is filed under the name Sarcophilus harrisii (Tasmanian devil). Its description in RNAcentral is "lncRNA (ENSSHAG00000028691.1)". Lineage: Eukaryota; Metazoa; Chordata; Mammalia; Dasyuromorphia; Dasyuridae. The record is from RNAcentral.